RNAcentral lists this ribosomal RNA (303 nucleotides) under uncultured bacterium. Its description in RNAcentral is "partial 16S ribosomal RNA". It matches the Rfam family "Bacterial small subunit ribosomal RNA", at positions 507 to 808 of the family's 1533-position model. The record is from RNAcentral.
AGCAGUCGCCGCGGUAAUACCGAGGGUGCAAGCGUUAAUCGGAAUUACUGGGCGUAAAGCGCGCGUAGGUGGUUUGUUAAGUUGGAUGUGAAAGCCCCGGGCUCAACCUGGGAACUGCAUCCAAAACUGGCAAGCUAGAGUACGGUAGAGGGUGGUGGAAUUUCCUGUGUAGCGGUGAAAUGCGUAGAUAUAGGAAGGAACACCAGUGGCGAAGGCGACCACCUGGACUGAUACUGACACUGAGGUGCGAAAGCGUGGGGAGCAAACAGGAUUAGAUACCCCCGUAGUCCCGUCUCUUAUACC